CCUACGGGAGGCUGCAGUCGAGAAUCAUUCACAAUGGGGGAAACCCUGAUGGUGCGACGCCGCGUGGGGGAAUGAAGGUCUUCGGAUUGUAAACCCCUGUCAUGUGGGAGCAAAUUAAAAAGAUAGUACCACAAGAGGAAGAGACGGCUAACUCUGUGCCAGCAGCCGCGGUAAUACAGAGGUCUCAAGCGUUGUUCGGAACCACUGGGCGUACAGCGUGCGUAGGCUGUUUCGUAAGUCGUGUGUGAAAGGCGCGGGCUCAACCCGCGGACGGCACAUGAUACUGCGAGACUAGAGUAAGGGAGGGGGACCCGGAAUGCUCGGUGUAGAGGUGAAAGGCGUAGAUAUCGAGAAGAACACGCGGGGCGAAGGCGGGUUCCUGGACAUUAACGGACGCUGAGGCACGAAGGCCAGGGGAGCGAAAGGGAUUAGAUACCCGGGUAGUC
RNAcentral lists this ribosomal RNA (446 nucleotides) under uncultured bacterium. RNAcentral describes it as "partial 16S ribosomal RNA". It matches the Rfam family "Bacterial small subunit ribosomal RNA", at positions 338 to 795 of the family's 1533-position model. The record is from RNAcentral.